RNAcentral lists this ribosomal RNA (253 nucleotides) under uncultured bacterium. Its description in RNAcentral is "partial 16S ribosomal RNA". It matches the Rfam family "Bacterial small subunit ribosomal RNA", at positions 524 to 776 of the family's 1533-position model. The record is from RNAcentral.
UACGGAGGGUGCAAGCGUUAAUCGGAAUUAUUGGGCGUAAAGAGCUCGUAGGCGGUCUGUCGCGUCGGCUGUGAAAACCCGGGGCUCAACCCCGGGCCUGCAGUCGAUACGGGCAGACUAGAGUGCGGUAGGGGAGACUGGAAUUCCUGGUGUAGCGGUGAAAUGCGCAGAUAUCAGGAGGAACACCGGUGGCGAAGGCGGGUCUCUGGGCCGUAACUGACGCUGAGGAGCGAAAGCGUGGGGAGCGAACAGG